GGGGUUGUAUCUCAGUGGUAGAGAGCCCGCUUCGCAUGCGGGAGGCCCAGGGUUCAAUCCCCUGCAACUCCA
Gaertneriomyces semiglobifer is the source of this 72-nucleotide non-coding RNA. The record is from the annotation of a GenBank genome assembly. NCBI's taxonomy places the organism in Eukaryota, Fungi, Chytridiomycota, Chytridiomycetes, Spizellomycetales, Spizellomycetaceae.